Papaver somniferum (opium poppy) is the source of this 1750-nucleotide long non-coding RNA. RefSeq lists it as uncharacterized. The transcript has 3 exons. The record is from RefSeq and is a predicted model, not a curated record. NCBI's taxonomy places the organism in Eukaryota, Viridiplantae, Streptophyta, Magnoliopsida, Ranunculales, Papaveraceae.
UUCUUUCUUCUACUUCGUCUUUACUUCUCUGCUCUUCCUCUGCCGACGUUGAGAGAUGAGAGUUGAGAUUCGAUUUGAAAGAAUCAACUGAUAUGGGUAUGCAGAUGUUGAAGGUGAUGGUGCUGAUGUGAAUUAGGUAGAGAACAAUUAGGAAUCGAAGAUAUAAAUCAAAGGAAACCAAGUUAGUGUUUGUGGAUUGAGUUUUGGAUUCGUGUGGAAUUAAUUUGUUGACCGAGUUGUUGGUAGAUGAAAACAAAGAGGGUUAUCAUUUGUUUGCUGAGAUGAAGUAGUUUUGAAGAUGAAUUAAGAGUUAGGGUUUCUGAGAAAUUAAUUGGAGAUCGAUUAGGUGGUGAUUAAUAGAAGAAUUGAAGGUUGGGUUUGCAUUGAUUGAAGACCUGGAUUGAUAUUUUGAUCUCAGGUGAAGUAGAAGCUCAUGCAACCGUAAUUAGAAUUAGGGUUUUGUCUUGUAUUUGAGAUUAAGAAGUUAAUUAGGGAAUUAAGGUUUGAUUGAACUGUAAAUCUAAGGAGUAAAUAGAAUUAUUGGAUGGGUUUAGUCGAUUUGAGAACUUGAAUUAAUGAUUGAACAGAUUCAAAGAUUUGGGGAUUAUUUAGGGGCUUCACAGUUGAUGUUCUUGGAAUUGUUCAGAGGAGGUAAGAAGAGGCAAUAUCAGUUAUGAUUCUCAAAUGAAGACCUAGGGUUCAUGGAUUGAAAUUACAAGUGAGGAAGGUUCUAAGAUUUGUAUGAGGUAAAUCUUCUCAACCAAUUUAAGUACUUGUUAUGUUGUUUAAAAUUUAGAAUUAGUAUAACUAAAUUGAGAUAAUUGAUCUAAGGUGUGAGUUGGUUAUGGAAAGAAGGUUAGAUGUUUUUUUAAAUUACAGGGUCUCUAUGAAUUUAAUUGGGAAUGGAAAUUAUGAAUAAGGAUGUCGGGGUAAGUGAAUUGUAUUGGAUUUGAGAUGUUAUUAUUGUUGUCGAGGCUGGUGGUGGUAUUGAUUUGAUAUUAGGUUCAUAUAUGGAAUUGCAGUUCAAACAUGAAACUAGUGGUGAUAGUAAAUUGAGAAUGAAUGUACAGAUAUGGAGUUGGUGUUGUUAUUAUUUGUUAGAGUUUAGAUGUUGUUGUUGUGACAGUAAAGUCACAAUUGCCGUGACUCUGAGAGGUUGAACAGAAUGGGUCGUGGUGGUUCUGGUAUUAUGGGUUAUUGGAGGUGGUUUGUUGAACUGAGAUUACAGUUGUGGUUCAGGUUGGAUUGCAGUGUUGUUUGGAUUGAAGUUUAGAGAGUUUAGAAUUAGAAUAGGUAUGAACUAGUAUAACAAGAAUGAAAUGAAGUAGGGUUGCAGAGUGUGUAGCUGUCGAGUGAUUGGUUGAGAUGAAUGUAGAAAGAAUGUUGCAGCUACUUCUUUUGCAGUUAGUCUGUAUUAACAACGAUCGAUUCAAAGGAUGAACCAGUGGAUCGUGGAUCUCGAGGUAGGCAUGGCUUUUCAUCAAAAGAGUUUCAGAGACAGAUCAGAGUUGCACAACGAAAGCUUCGAGGAUUUGACUCAGUUAAUUAGUUAACUUCUGCUAUGUUUAAUAUGUUGUAUAUUUUGUUUUGUAAAUCAAAUGACUAUUGUAUAUGUAUCAUUUGAGAUGAGUUGUUGUAUAUACAUUUCUUAGCGGGGCUAGUUUUGGGUUAAGUUUUGUAGCAGAUUUCUAAACUGAAGGUUUAUGUAAAGGAUUUAGAUUCUUAGUGCCUCUUUAUUUGGUUAUCAGAA